CCAAUAGCGUAUAUUAAAGUUGUUGCAGUUAAAAAGCUCGUAGUUGAACUUCGGGAUCAAUGAAUUGGUCAUGCCGUUGGUAUGUACUGAUUUUAUUGGUUCUCACCUUCUAAAGAACCAUAAUGUCAUUCAUUUGAUGUUAUGGGGAAUUAGGACUGUUACCUUGAAAAAAUUAGAGUGUUUAAAGCAGGCUCACGCUUGAAUACAUUAGCAUGGAAUAAUGAAAUAGGACAUCGCAUUCUAUUUUGUUGGUUUCUAGGAUCGAUGUAAUGAUUAAUAGGGAUAGUUGGGGGCAUUAGUAUUCAAUUGUCAGAGGUGAAAUUCUUGGAUUUAUUGAAGACUAACUACUGCGAAAGCAUUUGCCAAGGAUGUUUUCAUUAAUCAAGAACGAAAGUUAGGGGAUCGAAGACGAUCAGAUACCGUCGUAGUCUUAACCAUAAACUAUGCCGACUAGGGAUCGGAUGAUGUUGAUUUUUUAAUGACUCAUUCGGCACCUUACG
Molecule: ribosomal RNA, 500 nt
Filed under: uncultured Glomeromycotina
Lineage: Eukaryota; Fungi; Glomeromycota
Description: partial small subunit ribosomal RNA
Rfam family: Eukaryotic small subunit ribosomal RNA
Source: RNAcentral